GUUAAAGUAACAUAGAAGUACGCCUCGAGGUGCAGGGAAGGCAGCAGUUUGCACCUGAGUGCUGGUGCCUCGAGUUGAAGGUUGCUGCAGAUGUUUUCUCCCGUGAGUGAUGCACCCUGCCACAGUGCAGCCAUCGGCCAGUCUUGGAAAGACCAGCCAAGUCCCACGUCUCGCUGGUGGAAAGCUGGCAACCACAAGGAGUGAGUUAGCAGCUUCCUAAAAUUUCCACCUCGUGAUAGAGUUUUCUUAGGCGACCUCUGGUCGAAAGGGCCGGACUUGCCCGUGAAUGAUCAGUAGGCCACCUCCUUGGUCCGUGCAGUCUUUGGAGCCACUCCAGACCGAAAGGCAGGCGCUUUCUGGAGCAGAGUGCAGAGCAUGCAGGACCUGCUCUUCCAUGGAGGGAACAAGUCCUGCCAAGUCCUGCCUACCUUUGCAAGGAUCUCCAGCGAUUUAUAUCUUGGUGAAGCCCCAUGCCAGACUACGCCUUCUCAGAUUUCAGCCUUGGCUCCACAUAAUCAGAUAAAAAUAUCCAUUUCAUGGCAGAAGGAUGACCUUAGCUCCAAAUCAGGGCACCAAGGACCAGCAGCACUGUCCUCACAGCCCUUGGCUUUUCAUUGGCCUCUUCCACCACUGCUAUUUGAAGAAAGAGAGAACAGAAAAUCUUCAAAACUGAGAGGUACAAAGGGUACAAAGAUCCUACUUAGAAGGGAUAGGCUGCCUGGAAAGGGAGGAAGGACUUUGACUAGAACCAGAAGACUGAGCAGAGUGAUGGGUGAACCAGAGCUACACACCAUUGCUUCAAAGAUACUUGUCCAACCUCAAAGGACCACAGGAAGCAAAAAUAAAUAUCCUCUUGGAUAA
Struthio camelus australis is the source of this 861-nucleotide long non-coding RNA. NCBI's taxonomy places the organism in Eukaryota, Metazoa, Chordata, Aves, Struthioniformes, Struthionidae. The record is from Ensembl.